RNAcentral lists this ribosomal RNA (484 nucleotides) under uncultured bacterium. RNAcentral describes it as "partial 16S ribosomal RNA". It matches the Rfam family "Bacterial small subunit ribosomal RNA", at positions 30 to 507 of the family's 1533-position model. The record is from RNAcentral.
AUUGAACGCUGGCGGAAUGCUUUACACAUGCAAGUCGAGCGGCAGCACGGGGGCAACCCUGGUGGCGAGCGGCGAACGGGUGAGUAAUACAUCGGAACAUGCCCAGUCGUGGGGGAUAACACUUCGAAAGAAGUGCUAAUACCGCAUACGUCCUGAGGGGGAAAGCGGGGGAUCGCAAGACCUCGCGCGAUUGGAGUGGCCGAUGUCAGAUUAGCUAGUUGGUGGGGUAAAGGCCCACCAAGGCAACGAUCUGUAGCUGGUCUGAGAGGAUGAUCAGCCACACUGGGACUGAGACACGGCCCAGACUCCUACGGGAGGCAGCAGUGGGGAAUUUUGGACAAUGGGGGCAACCCCGAUCCAGCCAUUCCGCGUGAGUGAAGAAGGCCUUCGGGUUGUAAAGCUCUUUCGGCAGGAACGAAACGGUGAGCUCUAACAUAGCUUGCUAAUGACGGUACCUGAAGAAGAAGCACCGGCUAACUACGUG